This 497-nucleotide ribosomal RNA is filed under the name uncultured bacterium. Its description in RNAcentral is "partial 16S ribosomal RNA". It matches the Rfam family "Bacterial small subunit ribosomal RNA", at positions 28 to 507 of the family's 1533-position model. The record is from RNAcentral.
GAUGAACGCUGGCGGCGUGCCUAAUACAUGCAAGUCGAGCGAACGGACGAGAAGCUUGCUUCUCUGAUGUUAGCGGCGGACGGGUGAGUAACACGUGGAUAACCUACCUAUAAGACUGGGUUAACUUCGGGCACCCGGACCUAAUCCCGGAUGUUAUUUUUACCCGCAUGGUUCAAAAUUGAAAACCGGUCUUUCUUUCACUUUUCGUUGAAUCCGCGCUGCCUUAGCUAGUUGGUAAGGUAACGGCUUACCAAGGCAACGAUGCAUAGCCGACCUGAGAGGGUGAUCGGCCACACUGGAACUGAGACACGGUCCAGACUCCUACGGGAGGCAGCAGUAGGGAAUCUUCCGCAAUGGGCGAAAGCCUGACGGAGCAACGCCGCGUGAGUGAUGAAGGUCUUCGGAUCGUAAAACUCUGUUAUUAGGGAAGAACAUAUGUGUAAGUAACUGUGCACAUCUUGACGGUACCUAAUCAGAAAGCCACGGCUAACUACGUG